CAGCCGCCACGGGAAUACGUAGGUGGCAAGCGUUGUCCGGAAUUAUUGGGCGUAAAGGGCUCGCAGGCGGUUUCUUAAGUCUGAUGUGAAAGCCCCCGGCUCAACCGGGGAGGGUCAUUGGGAACUGGGAAACUUGAGUGCAGAGGAGGAGAGUGGAAUUCCACGUGUAGCGGUGAAAUGCGUAGAGAUGUGGAGGAACACCAGUGGCGAAGGCGACUCUCUGGUCUGUAACUGACACUGAGGAGCGAAAGCGUGGGAGCGAACAGGAUUAGAUACCCCAGUAGUCCCUGUCUCUUAUACA
RNAcentral lists this ribosomal RNA (301 nucleotides) under uncultured bacterium. Its description in RNAcentral is "partial 16S ribosomal RNA". It matches the Rfam family "Bacterial small subunit ribosomal RNA", at positions 509 to 808 of the family's 1533-position model. The record is from RNAcentral.